GUGGGAGUAGCGAAGUGGUCAAACGUGACAGCCUCAAGAGCUGUUGGCUUAGUGCCUUCGCAGGUUCGAUCCCUGCCUCCCACA
This 84-nucleotide transfer RNA is filed under the name Candidatus Woesearchaeota archaeon. Its description in RNAcentral is "tRNA-Leu". It matches the Rfam family "tRNA". From Rfam's summary of the family: Transfer RNA (tRNA) molecules are approximately 80 nucleotides in length. The record is from RNAcentral. Lineage: Archaea; Nanobdellati; Candidatus Woesearchaeota.